This 253-nucleotide ribosomal RNA is filed under the name uncultured bacterium. RNAcentral describes it as "partial 16S ribosomal RNA". It matches the Rfam family "Bacterial small subunit ribosomal RNA", at positions 524 to 776 of the family's 1533-position model. The record is from RNAcentral.
UACGAAGGGGGCGAGCGUUGUUCGGAUUUACUGGGCGUAAAGGGCGCGCAGGCGGCUCAUUUUGUCAGGCGUGAAAGCCCCGGGCUUAACCUGGGAACUGCGUUUGAUACGGAUGGGCUAGAGUGCAGAAGGGGCAAUCGGAAUUCUUGGUGUAGCGGUGAAAUGCGUAGAUAUCAAGAGGAACACCUGAGGUGAAGACGGGUUGCUGGGCUGACACUGACGCUGAGGCGCGAAAGCUAGGGGAGCAAACGGG